RNAcentral lists this ribosomal RNA (484 nucleotides) under uncultured bacterium. RNAcentral's name for it is "partial 16S ribosomal RNA". It matches the Rfam family "Bacterial small subunit ribosomal RNA", at positions 30 to 507 of the family's 1533-position model. The record is from RNAcentral.
AUUGAACGCUGGCGGCAGGCCUAACACAUGCAAGUCGAGCGGAUGAAGGGAGCUUGCUCCUGGAUUCAGCGGCGGACGGGUGAGUAAUGCCUAGGAAUCUGCCUGGUAGUGGGGGAUAACGUCCGGAAACGGGCGCUAAUACCGCAUACGUCCUGAGGGAGAAAGUGGGGGAUCUUCGGACCUCACGCUAUCAGAUGAGCCUAGGUCGGAUUAGCUAGUUGGUGGGGUAAAGGCCUACCAAGGCGACGAUCCGUAACUGGUCUGAGAGGAUGAUCAGUCACACUGGAACUGAGACACGGUCCAGACUCCUACGGGAGGCAGCAGUGGGGAAUAUUGGACAAUGAGCGAAAGCCUGAUCCAGCCAUACCGCGUGUGUGAAGAAGGUCUUCGGAUUGUAAAGCACUUUAAGUUGGGAGGAAGGGCAGUAAGUUAAUACCUUGCUGUUUUGACGUUACCAACAGAAUAAGCACCGGCUAACUUCGUG